AUGAGGCAGACCAUGGGUUCUCAUUGUGAUAGUGUAGAAUGUUGGUUAACUGUGGACUCCCUGGCUGUGUCUCAA
Molecule: microRNA precursor, 75 nt
Filed under: Cercocebus atys (sooty mangabey)
Lineage: Eukaryota; Metazoa; Chordata; Mammalia; Primates; Cercopithecidae
Also listed under: 6 other names
Description: mir-591 microRNA precursor family
Rfam family: mir-591 microRNA precursor family
Source: Rfam by way of RNAcentral